UACAGAGGGGGCAAGCGUUGUUCGGAAUCACUGGGCGUAAAGCGCACGUAGGCGGCUUUUUAAGUCAGGGGUGAAAUCCUGGAGCUCAACUCCAGAACUGCCUUUGAUACUGAGAAGCUUGAGUCCGGGAGAGGUGAGUGGAACUGCGAGUGUAGAGGUGAAAUUCGUAGAUAUUCGCAAGAACACCAGUGGCGAAGGCGGCUCACUGGCCCGGUACUGACGCUGAGGUGCGAAAGCGUGGGGAGCAAACAGG
This 253-nucleotide ribosomal RNA is filed under the name uncultured bacterium. RNAcentral describes it as "partial 16S ribosomal RNA". It matches the Rfam family "Bacterial small subunit ribosomal RNA", at positions 524 to 776 of the family's 1533-position model. The record is from RNAcentral.